Molecule: ribosomal RNA, 440 nt
Filed under: uncultured bacterium
Lineage: Bacteria
Description: partial 16S ribosomal RNA
Rfam family: Bacterial small subunit ribosomal RNA
Source: RNAcentral
CCUACGUGGUGCAGCAGUGGGGAAUAUUGCACAAUGGUGGAAACCCUGAUGCAGCGACGCCGCGUGAGUGAAGAAGUAAUUCGUUACGUAAAGCUCUAUCAGCAGGGAAGCAAAUGACGGUACCUGAGUACGACUCCCCGGCUCACUCCGUACCAGCAGCCGCGGUCAUACGUAGGGGGCAAGCGUUAUCCGGAUUUACUGGGUGUAACGGGGGCGUAGACGGUGCGCCAAGUCUGGAGUGAAAUGCCGGAGCUUAACCGCGGAACUGCUGUGGAAACUGGCGAACUAGAGUGCGGGAGGGGUAAGCGGAAUGCCCGGUGUAGCGGUGAAAUGCGUAGAUAUCAGGAGGAACACCGGUGGCGAAGGCGGCAUACUGGAUCGUAACUGACGUUGAGGCUCGAAAGCGUGGGGAGCAAACAGGAUUAGAUACCCUGGUAGUC